Molecule: ribosomal RNA, 418 nt
Filed under: uncultured bacterium
Lineage: Bacteria
Description: bacterial SSU rRNA
Rfam family: Bacterial small subunit ribosomal RNA
Source: RNAcentral
GGAAUUUUGGACAAUGGGGGCAACCCUGAUCCAGCAACGCCGCGUGAAGGAUGAAGGUCUUCGGAUUGUAAACUUCUUUUGUCUGGGAAUAAGAAAUCUGUGGAAACACGGAGAGUGAAUGUACCAGAUGAAUAAGCCACGGCUAACUUCGUGCCAGCAGCCGCGGUAAUACGAAGGUGGCAAGCGUUACUCGGAAUUACUAGGCGUAAAGGGCAGGUAGGUGGUUUGAUAAGUCUGUUGUGGAAGCUCCCGGCUUAACUGGGAGAGGUCAACAGAUACUAUCAAGCUUGAGUGUGGGAGAGGGUACUGGAAUUCCCGGUGUAGCGGUGAAAUGCGCAGAGUUCGGGAGGAACACCAAUGGCGAAAGCAGGUACCUGGACCACUACUGACACUCAGCUGCGAAAGCUAGGGGAGCAAA